This 1152-nucleotide long non-coding RNA is filed under the name Helianthus annuus (common sunflower). RNAcentral describes it as "hypothetical non coding rna". The record is from RNAcentral. Lineage: Eukaryota; Viridiplantae; Streptophyta; Magnoliopsida; Asterales; Asteraceae.
UUUCUUCUAUUCUUCUCUCUAUACGUUAGUGUUCUAACCAAAAAUCACCGAUGCGAGGUUCUGUCCGAUCGAUUCAGGAACCAUCUAAUAAAUGCCAAAGUGCUAUACUUUGUGAAUUUCGGUAAACGGAAUCCAAAGUGUUAUACUUUGUGAAUUUUGUUAAGGUUCGAAUCUCGUGACUACCGUUAAGGUUUGAUUUGGGUUUUACACAAAUACGUAUUCCAUUCUGUUAAACUAUAUGUUUAACUACCAGAAUACUCCCAACUACACACUUACAAUCAAACAAGCUGUUAAAUCAUCAGAAGAUCCAGAACAAUAAAGUAUACACUUAAUUAUCAGAAGGAAUAGAAUCAAUAAGCUUGUUAAAUCAAUACUACAUGCUUAUGAUGUGAUUACAGUAGAUUGGAAUAAAAGUUGGAUACGGCACCAAAAAGGCUUACAGAAGUGGCUUGAUUUAUCAAUUAAAUAAAAAUUAAGAAAAGUUGUUUUAUGUAAUCAAGUCUAUAUUAAAAGCUACCUUUGUAAAACAUGGAAUUUAUUAUAUCUAUUUAAAUAAAAUCCGGUGUUUCUAAACUCUGAUAUUUUUCCUAACUCACGGUCCUGAUGAAAUUUCCGCCGCAAUGUUUUUCAAAAAUAACCAACGGUACCACGGGCUGCUCGCGGCUCCCGGUUCCAUCAAGGGUGGGGUCGGGGGUCGUGACACUGUCCGUGUGUCAUUUGACUGUAUAAAAGCUCAGGAUUAAUCAGUAAAGUAAUGACUUGAAAGGAAACAAGCUGUUUGACGUUGUUUACAUUGAUUCCGCCUUUGUAAAUGAUGAUGAACUACUCAACUUGACUGUUUAAGGUCACGUAAAAAUCAUAUUUCGAUUGAAUUCUCCUCUUUAUUAUCUAUAGCAAAUUCUUUUUUUCUACAAGUAAAAUUCAAAGAAAAUACCAUUACUAAUAUUGUUAAAACUUUCUUUUUACCAUCUGAAAAUACUACGAAACUGAUAUCUUAGGAGUUAAAAUGUUUUUUAACGUAUUUUUAGAUGUUCCUUUAGGUAAAAAAAAAAAAAAUCAUAUUUGAAAUCAAAUAUUUUUACUUUUUUAAUUGUGAAAAAUCGUUAUUAGAAAAUUUACAGACACUAUCAAUACAGUAUUAUUAAUCAAUAA